RNAcentral lists this ribosomal RNA (815 nucleotides) under Vibrio parahaemolyticus. RNAcentral's name for it is "partial 23S ribosomal RNA". It matches the Rfam family "Bacterial large subunit ribosomal RNA", at positions 136 to 1000 of the family's 2925-position model. The record is from RNAcentral. Lineage: Bacteria; Pseudomonadati; Pseudomonadota; Gammaproteobacteria; Vibrionales; Vibrionaceae.
UUACAUAAGUAAGUAUCAUUAACUGAAUACAUAGGGUAAGGAGGCGAACCGGGGGAACUGAAACAUCUAAGUACCCCGAGGAAAAGAAAUCAACCGAGAUUCCGAAAGUAGCGGCGAGCGAAAUUGGACUAGCCCUUAAGCUUUACACGCGUUAGACGAACGGUCUGGAAAGUCCGACGAUACAGGGUGAUAGUCCCGUAGUUGACGACGUGUGUUCAGUGAAAUCGAGUAGGGCGGGACACGUGAUAUCCUGUCUGAAUAUGGGGGGACCAUCCUCCAAGGCUAAAUACUACUGACUGACCGAUAGUGAACCAGUACCGUGAGGGAAAGGCGAAAAGAACCCCUGUGAGGGGAGUGAAAUAGAACCUGAAACCGUGUACGUACAAGCAGUAGGAGCAGGCUUUGUCCUGUGACUGCGUACCUUUUGUAUAAUGGGUCAGCGACUUAUAUUCAGUGGCAAGGUUAACCAUCUAGGGGAGCCGUAGGGAAACCGAGUCUUAACUGGGCGUUCAGUCUCUGGAUAUAGACCCGAAACCAGGUGAUCUAGCCAUGGGCAGGUUGAAGGUUGAGUAACAUCAACUGGAGGACCGAACCGACUAAUGUUGAAAAAUUAGCGGAUGACUUGUGGCUAGGGGUGAAAGGCCAAUCAAACCUGGAGAUAGCUGGUUCUCCCCGAAAGCUAUUUAGGUAGCGCCUCGGACGAAUACUACUGGGGGUAGAGCACUGUUAAGGCUAGGGGGUCAUCCCGACUUACCAACCCUUUGCAAACUCCGAAUACCAGUAAGUACUAUCCGGGAGACACACGGCGGGUGCUA